CAGCAUAUCUUAUAUAUCCCAACUUUACAGAGGGUGAUAAAUACACAUCAAACAUCAAUAAUACAGAUCAACUUGGAACCUUUUCCCCAUUCUCCUUAUGGGUCAAGUCACGUGCAUUAACUACUCCUGGAUUUUCUUACCUAAGAUAUUGAUUAUAAAUGUCCAUCGGGACGGCAGCGAUAACACCUUUUUACCGGUGCUCUGCUCUGAAAAUCUAAGCCUACCACUUCAUGCGUCGAUAAUUUCGACGCAAUAAUUUCUAUUAUUGGACUUCACUGUCGUCACUUCACUCAUCUUUCUCGCUAACUGUACUCGACGUGCUUUCAACUUCAAACUACACUUCUGCUUCCCUCCUUCCUCCCACUACCCCGCAUUUGCACGUUCCAACCAGCGCUUCAAGGUUUGACUAUAAGAUUGUAAAGUGUUUUGUCGCCACCAGCUGUACCUAUAAGAGAAAAAGGACAACCAUUCGAAAUAAUGAAUAGGUUCCGGUUGCAGGUUCCGGUGGUAGAUGGCGCCAAAGCGCUGCGCUGGAGUUGAGACGGACAGCCGCGCGCGCGUGGCCGCCUUAACGACGCAGAUGGUAACUGACGUAACGCUUAGUUCGCUAGUGCGUCAAGUCAGUCAGUCAGCUAUAGCCAAGAUUUAAAAUACAUAUAUAUAUUUUUAAUGAUUUGUAGCCUAAACGUUUGUGUUGAAAGUGAGCUGUAGUUUCGUUUUUUGCCUGCCAAAAACGUUUUAAUUCUUUGUUUUACUGCUGCACCUUGCUUAAUAAAGGUGUAUGUAAUGCUAGCUAGCUAACAGCUUGCUAACUGUUAACCGUUUGACCGUCCCUGUUUGUGAGACCUGUUGAAAUGGAUGACCAUGAUUCCCUGGGCAGUAUGGACAGUUUACUUCUCCAGCUAGCUCUGCAAACCAGGGACAUCGCUCAGAAGAGGGAUCAGAUCAAUCAACAGAUUCAAAUCGGCAAAGCCAAUGUUGCUGAGAAGAAAUCCUACAUCAUAGGGAUCCAGAAAAACAUCAGGAAGCUUGAGGAGGAAUCUCAUCAUAAGCAGAACAUUGUGAAGCAUCUCAAAGGCAAUACGAAAAGUCUAAAGGGAACUAACGGCCUCCUGCUGCAGUAUGAGAAGACGCUGCAGGCUGAAUUGGAGAGGAGACGAGACAACUGUAAUCAAGACAUGAAAGUGUACCAGGAGAGAAUAGAGCGCUACAGGAAGGUUUUCCAGCAGCACAAAGAGAGUUACUACCAGAACCCUCUGGCCAAGCAGCUGCUGAUGAUUCAGUCAGGAAAAGAAGAGCUGGAAAGCAGGAUUAAAGUUUGUGAGGACCAGAUAACAGCCAAAGAGAAGGCUCUGCAGGAUCUACUAGGUCAAACAUUGUCCAUCGAAAAUCCAUUGGAAAGCAUCUCUGGUCUAUUGACGGCAGCAGAGUCUCACAGACAGUCAUCGGCUCAGACUGAGGAUGACCAUCAGUCUCCACUAGACAUCUCCUCCCUCCAUGUUUCCCAGGAUGGCCAUGAGAAACACGGAGAGGGAAUUGAAGAGCAUCUAGAGAAGACCGUUGCUCACCCUCCAUCACAAGGAGACACACACUGUGACCUGUGGUCAUACCCAGAGGCAAUGGGUAGGAUCUUCAAUGAUGGAAUACACGCUUCAGACCAGGAGGAGGGAAGUUUACUAGAGGAACAGAAGGAGUGUCUGAACACCUCCAGUACAGUGGGGAUGGAGGAGGUGAAGGAGAGGGGGACUGAGGGAGGAGACGAACAGCCUACACCCCUCAUUACUGAGGCGGAGGAGGAUGAAGGGAUGGGAGCAGCAUUCUCUCCUCAGACUCCUAAUAGAAUGAAAGCUGUGUCCAGCACCCCAACCUUCUCCCUGAAGAGCCUCCUUUCCCCUUCAGCAGCUCAUAUUUCAGCAGUGAAAAGAAACCGUCAGGAUCCAGAUCGCCAUCAGGCUUCCUGUUUGCCCGGCCAGAGUCGGAGAAGUCAGAAGAUGGAUUUGAGUUCCCCUUCAGCUCUAAGAGUCCUGGUCAACCGUCAACCAGCAGAGAGAAGGGAUCAGGGGCUGGGGACUCCUUCCCUUUCUCCUUUAACUUCUAGCACAUCUUACUGUAAAACUUCAUGUAUGCUUCAAAUGGCACCCUAUUCCUUAUAUAGUGCACUACUUUUGCCCAGGGCCAUGUAGUGUUCUAGGGCAAUAGGGCGCCAUUUGGAUGCAUCCUGAGAUUCUUCCUCGUUACUGUACAUGAGUUCCAUUUCAUGUUUGGUUAUUUCUAGAAAUAUGCAGAGGACUUCAACACAACUCUUUGUUGUUGUUAUGCACUGUAGAUCUGUUUUAGCGGUUGUUAAUAUUUACUCUAGUAAUUAGUUGAAUCAACUGUUGUAUGAAAAUUACUACCUUAUAAGAUAAAGUACCAUCUAGACUUAAACUUCGCUGUUUGUUCAUAAGUCAUUUAUAAUUAUUUAAAACUUAAUUGUAUUAAUAUUUAACUAAAUAAAAUCAGAUAAAAACAUACAUUUGUGUCAAGUUGGCUGGAUGUCCUUUGGGUGGUGGACCAUUCUUGAUACACACAGGAAACUGUUGAGCGUGAAAAACACAGCAGCUUUGCAGUUCUUGACACAAACCGGUGCACCUGGCACUUACUACCAUACCCUGUUAAAAAGGCACUUAAAUCUUUUGUCUUGCCCAUUCACUCUCUGAAUGUCACACAUACACAAUCCAUGUCUUAAUUGUCUCAAGGCUUAAAAAUCCUUCUUUAACCUGUCUCCUCCCCUUCAUCUACACUUAUUGAAGUGGAUUUAACAAGUGACAUCAACAAGGGAGCAUAGCUUUCACCUGAAUUCAGGUGGGACCUAACGAUGGAAUAUUAUCACAAUAC
This is a long non-coding RNA of Oncorhynchus kisutch (coho salmon), 2877 nucleotides long. The record is from Ensembl. Lineage: Eukaryota; Metazoa; Chordata; Actinopteri; Salmoniformes; Salmonidae.